This 460-nucleotide ribosomal RNA is filed under the name uncultured Methylomirabilota bacterium. Its description in RNAcentral is "bacterial SSU rRNA". It matches the Rfam family "Bacterial small subunit ribosomal RNA", at positions 977 to 1434 of the family's 1533-position model. The record is from RNAcentral. Lineage: Bacteria; Methylomirabilota (SeqCode).
GGGCUUGACAUCCCACGAACCUGACCGAACGGUGUGAGUGUCCGCAAGGGAGCACGGGGACAGGUGGUGCAUGGCUGUCGUCAGCUCCUGUCGUGAGAUGUUGGGUUGAGUCCCGCAACGAGCGCAGCCAUCACCCCUUGUUGCCUUCAGGUCAUGCUGGGCACCCUAGGGGAACUGCCCCGGUCAACGCGGAUUAAGGCGGGCAUGACGUCAAGACAUCAUUCCCCUUACGUCCUGGGCUACACACGUGCUAGAUUGGCUUGUACAAAGGGAUGCAAGACCGCCAGGUGGAGCCAAACCCAACGAGCCUGUCUAAGUUCAGAUUGGAGUCUGCAACUCGACUUCAUGAAGGAGGAAUCUCUCGUAAUCGCGCAUCAGCACGGUGCAGUGAGUACGUUCCCGGGCCUUGUACAAACCGCCCGUCACACCACGAAAGCCAGCUGUACUCGAAGUCGCUGAG